GAAAAAUAGAUUUCUGCUAUCUUCCCGUGUUGGGACCAAAGACUGUUUGUCUGUUUGAAGGACUUUAGUUAACUAUUUUAAGAUUUAUAACGGGUCCUCAGGCUAGCUGAACAUGUACCGGUCUGCGUGUGACGAGCCACGGGACAGAAACCGUUGGAAUGUUUACUGUCGCGUGCCGCUACGACUAUUUCUUUUAAGGAGAGUUAUAGAAUUACUCCAUACCUUUGUUGGGCAAAACGUUCAUCCCUUGACCGCGGCUACGUUCGGCGACUGGUUGUCGCCUCGAGCCUAAGCUCACUAUCAUAAAUCUCGAACAAAUACAAUCGGAUUGAAUGACGGCA
Molecule: unclassified non-coding RNA, 341 nt
Filed under: Bombus terrestris (buff-tailed bumblebee)
Lineage: Eukaryota; Metazoa; Arthropoda; Insecta; Hymenoptera; Apidae
Description: misc RNA ENSBTSG00005022556.1
Source: RNAcentral